UGGGGAAUUUUGCACAAUGGGGGAAACCCUGAUGCAGCGACGCCGCGUGAUUUAGAAGGCCUUCGGGUUGUAAAAAUCUUUUCUAUGGGAAGAAAAUGACAGUACCAUAGGGAUAAGGACCGGCUAAUUACGUGCCAGCAGCCGCGGUAAUACGUAAGGUCCGAGCGUUGUCCGGAAUCAUUGGGCGUAAAGGGUACGUAGGCGGGUAAGCAAGUUAGAAGUGAAAUCCUAUAGCUCAACUAUAGGAAGCUUUUAAAACUGCUCAUCUUGAGAUAUGGAAGGGAAAGUGGAAUUCCUAGUGUAGCGGUGAAAUGCGCAGAUAGUAGGAGGAAUACCGGUAGCGAAGGCGACUUUCUGGCCAUAACCUGACGCUGAGGUACGAAAGCGUGGGUAGCAAACAGG
This 402-nucleotide ribosomal RNA is filed under the name bacterium. RNAcentral's name for it is "partial 16S ribosomal RNA". It matches the Rfam family "Bacterial small subunit ribosomal RNA", at positions 355 to 776 of the family's 1533-position model. The record is from RNAcentral.